RNAcentral lists this small RNA (89 nucleotides) under Hafnia paralvei. RNAcentral describes it as "OmrA-B family". It matches the Rfam family "OmrA-B family". RNAcentral also lists the same sequence under 1 other name. The record is from RNAcentral. Lineage: Bacteria; Pseudomonadati; Pseudomonadota; Gammaproteobacteria; Enterobacterales; Hafniaceae.
CCCAGAGGUAUUGAUUGGUGAGAUUUCAGUACAUUUGUUACUGAAGCCAAUAAAUUACACCGACCUACGCGGAUGCGUAGGUUUUUUUU